Molecule: ribosomal RNA, 253 nt
Filed under: uncultured bacterium
Lineage: Bacteria
Description: partial 16S ribosomal RNA
Rfam family: Bacterial small subunit ribosomal RNA
Source: RNAcentral
UACAGAGGGUGCGAGCGUUAAUCGGAAUUACUGGGCGUAAAGCGUGCGUAGACGGUAAUGUAAGUCGGGUGUGAAAGCCCCGGGCUCAACCUGGGAAUUGCAUUUGAGACUGCUCUGCUCGGGUGCGGAAGAGGGAAGCGGAAUUUCCGGUGUAGCGGUGAAAUGCGUAGAUAUCGGAAGGAACACCAGUGGCGAAAGCGGCUUCCUGGUCCGACACCGACGUUCAGGCACGAAAGCGUGGGGAGCAAACAGG